GAUGAACGCUGGCGGCGUGCCUAAUACAUGCAAGUCGAGCGAACGGACGAGAAGCUUGCUUCUCUGAUGUUAGCGGCGGACGGGUGAGUAACACGUGGAUAACCUACCUAUAAGACUGGGAUAACUUCGGGAAACCGUAGCUAAUACCGGAUAAUAUUUUGAACCGCAUGGUUCAAAAGUGAAAGACGGUCUUGCUGUCACUUAUAGAUGGAUCCGCGCUGCAUUAGCUAGUUGGUAAGGUAACGGCUUACCAAGGCGACGAUGCAUAGCCGACCUGAGAGGGUGAUCGGCCACACUGGAACUGAGACACGGUCCAGACUCCUACGGGAGGCAGCAGUAGGGAAUCUUCCGCAAUGGGCGAAAGCCUGACGGAGCAACGCCGCGUGAGUGAUGAAGGUCUUCGGAUCGUAAAACUCUGUUAUUAGGGAAGAACAUAUGUGUAAGUAACUGUGCACAUCUUGACGGUACCUAAUCAGAAAGCCACGGCUAACUACGUGCCAGCAGCCGCGGUAAUACGUAGGUGGCAAGCGUUAUCCGGAAUUAUUGGGCGUAAAGCGCGCGUAGGCGGUUUUUUAAGUCUGAUGUGAAAGCCCACGGCUCAACCGUGGAGGGUCAUUGGAAACUGGAAAACUUGAGUGCAGAAGAGGAAAGUGGAAUUCCAUGUGUAGCGGUGAAAUGCGCAGAGAUAUGGAGGAACACCAGUGGCGAAGGCGACUUUCUGGUCUGUAACUGACGCUGAUGUGCGAAAGCGUGGGGAUCAAACAGGAUUAGAUACCCUGGUAGUCCACGCCGUAAACGAUGAGUGCUAAGUGUUAGGGGGUUUCCGCCCCUUAGUGCUGCAGCUAACGCAUUAAGCACUCCGCCUGGGGAGUACGACCGCAAGGUUGAAACCCAAAGGAAUUGACGGGGACCCGCACAAGCGGUGGAGCAUGUGGUUUAAUUCGAAGCAACGCGAAGAACCUUACCAAAUCUUGACAUCCUUUGACAACUCUAGAGAUAGAGCCUUCCCCUUCGGGGGACAAAGUGACAGGUGGUGCAUGGUUGUCGUCAGCUCGUGUCGUGAGAUGUUGGGUUAAGUCCCGCAACGAGCGCAACCCUUAAGCUUAGUUGCCAUCAUUAAGUUGGGCACUCUAAGUUGACUGCCGGUGACAAACCGGAGGAAGGUGGGGAUGACGUCAAAUCAUCAUGCCCCUUAUGAUUUGGGCUACACACGUGCUACAAUGGACAAUACAAAGGGCAGCGAAACCGCGAGGUCAAGCAAGUCCCAUAAAGUUGUUCUCAGUUCGGAUUGUAGUCUGCAACUCGACUACAUGAAGCUGGAAUCGCUAGUAAUCGUAGAUCAGCAUGCUACGGUGAAUACGUUCCCGGGUCU
This 1372-nucleotide ribosomal RNA is filed under the name uncultured bacterium. RNAcentral's name for it is "bacterial SSU rRNA". It matches the Rfam family "Bacterial small subunit ribosomal RNA", at positions 28 to 1381 of the family's 1533-position model. The record is from RNAcentral.